RNAcentral lists this ribosomal RNA (207 nucleotides) under uncultured bacterium. RNAcentral describes it as "partial 16S ribosomal RNA". It matches the Rfam family "Bacterial small subunit ribosomal RNA", at positions 568 to 774 of the family's 1533-position model. The record is from RNAcentral.
CUCGUAGGCGGUUUGUCGCGUCGGGAGUGAAAUCCUCGGGCUUAACUCGGGGCUUGCUUUCGAUACGGGCAGACUGGAGGUAUGCAGGGGAGAACGGAAUUCCUGGUGUAGCGGUGAAAUGCGCAGAUAUCAGGAGGAACACCGGUGGCGAAGGCGGUUCUCUGGGCAUGACCUGACGCUGAGGAGCGAAAGUGUGGGGAGCGAACA